RNAcentral lists this long non-coding RNA (350 nucleotides) under Phoenix dactylifera (date palm). RNAcentral describes it as "long non-coding RNA (PDAC_LNC003256)". Lineage: Eukaryota; Viridiplantae; Streptophyta; Magnoliopsida; Arecales; Arecaceae. The record is from RNAcentral.
CCUACAGGACAUGCUAGAAAGCUUGUUGCCACCUUUUUCAUCUUAUUUCGACAAGUUAGGAAACUUAGAAUCUACGAGGAGCUCGAUGGUUGAGGUAAAAGGCCAUUUUUUUCUCCAAGCUUGACUAAACGAGGCUUAAAUGUGUGUGCAUGAAUGCCACCAACGUUGGACUAGCCAGAAAGGUGUGGGUGAGAGGGAGGAUAGAGAGUAGUAUGGAUCCAGGUGCCUUGAUUUAUAAGAAUUUUCGUCACUUUCAUACCACCAUUCAAAAGAGAAGAUGGAGAUAGAUGAGAGUGUAGUGCUGGACUAUAGUAGAAAUUUAUAGUAGAUAAGGCAUCAAAAUUCAUGGA